UACAGAGGAUGCAAGCGUUAUCCGGAAUGAUUGGGCGUAAAGCGUCUGUAGGUGGCUUUUUAAGUCCGCCGUCAAAUCCCAGGGCUCAACUCUGGACAGGCGGUGGAAACUACCAAGCUGGAGUACGGUAGGGGCAGAGGGAAUUUCCGGUGGAGCGGUGAAAUGCGCAGAUAUCGGGAGGAACACCGGUGGCGAAAGCGGUUCUCUGGGCCUGUACUGACGCUGAGGAGCGAAAGCGUGGGGAGCGAACAGG
Molecule: ribosomal RNA, 253 nt
Filed under: uncultured bacterium
Lineage: Bacteria
Description: partial 16S ribosomal RNA
Rfam family: Bacterial small subunit ribosomal RNA
Source: RNAcentral